CAGGACAUUUUUGUUCAUGGAUCAAUUUACGUAGAUAUUGAAAUGGAAUACUGUUUGGAAUUAAAAUUCGGAAAAAGUGCAAGUUUCGACUCUUGUCGAUUUACCACCAAGAAUGUUGUGAUUUGUUGUUUGAAAAAAUUGAAUUAUACUCGAUCUAAAAAUGCAUAUCGCUGGAUUCUAAGUUAAACUGUGUUAAAAAUGGGGGAAGCUGCAGCAAGAAUUGCCUUUGCUCGACAAAGGCACAGGGAUGCAAACCGAGUAGAACAAAAUAGAAACAAUGGCAAUAAUACAGGUUCAAGGUUUCGGAAUAUUGCCCUUUCAGCUUCAGGCAAUAAUGCAGGUUCAAGGUUUCGGAAUAUUGCCCUUUCAUCUUCAGGCAAUAAUGCAGGUUCAAGGUUUCGGAAUAUUGCCCUUUCAGCUUCAGCUUCAUCUGUUGAUGGAAAACGGACACUUGUGACUGACCCCGAGUUAGCUGCAGUUUUGAGCAAAAAACAGAACAAGAAACAAACCGAGAAAAGUGAUUCCUCUUGGUUUGAAAGAUUUAAAAGAAUACACACCAGA
Molecule: long non-coding RNA, 561 nt
Filed under: Mytilus galloprovincialis (Mediterranean mussel)
Lineage: Eukaryota; Metazoa; Mollusca; Bivalvia; Mytilida; Mytilidae
Source: RNAcentral